This 425-nucleotide ribosomal RNA is filed under the name uncultured bacterium. RNAcentral describes it as "partial 16S ribosomal RNA". It matches the Rfam family "Bacterial small subunit ribosomal RNA", at positions 354 to 796 of the family's 1533-position model. The record is from RNAcentral.
GUGGGGAAUCUUGCGCAAUGGGCGAAAGCCUGACGCAGCCAUGCCGCGUGAAUGAUGAAGGUCUUAGGAUUGUAAAAUUCUUUCACCGGGGACGAUAAUGACGGUACCCGGAGAAGAAGCCCCGGCUAACUUCGUGCCAGCAGCCGCGGUAAUACGAAGGGGGCUAGCGUUGCUCGGAAUUACUGGGCGUAAAGGGAGCGUAGGCGGACAGUUUAGUCAGAGGUGAAAGCCCAGGGCUCAACCUUGGAAUUGCCUUUGAUACUGGCUGUCUUGAGUUUGGGAGAGGUGUGUGGAACUCCGAGUGUAGAGGUGAAAUUCGUAGAUAUUCGGAAGAACACCAGUGGCGAAGGCGACACACUGGCCCAAUACUGACGCUGAGGCUCGAAAGCGUGGGGAGCAAACAGGAUUAGAAACCCCAGUAGUCC